ACAGUGGACAGCUCAGUAGUCUGACAGCAAGAAUAUAAUGCUCAAUUCUAAACUGGAGAAUGUAAACACAGCAAGGAAAUCCUGGAUACAGCGUUGAAUUGUACCAUGCUAGACUGGCUGCUGCUCUCCAUGAUUUUGAUCUGUCACACAUCAAUAAGAGACCUAGAACUUGCUUUCCUGAGAGCAAGAGAUGAGUAGUUUUGUUUGUAGGACACAGUUAAUUUUGAUGCAACUAACCUAAAAGAUAAGCAUAUUCUUUCUCAACCACUUUGUAAAGCUGAAAGUAAAUUCAGUAGCCUAGAAAUUGAUCUCCAUCAUACAAGAGAUGCUCUCAGAGAAAAGACCUUGGUUUUAGAAUCUGUACCAAGGAUACUCUAUGUGUAAGCCAAACACAGUGUCAAAUGAAGUAAAUCAAGCAAAUGUAUUAGAAUGAAUAAGAUAAAGUAAGUAAAUACAUUGGAAAGCAGAAGUCUGUAAAAGAGGGAUUAUCUUGACUAUAGAGUAAAAAUAGAAAGCCCCAAAACUUAUAUGGAAACAAAUUUAGUACAACAAGAAUGUGGAAACAAAUUUAGUACAAGAAAGAGACCAAAGAAAGAGUAAACAAGAUAUAGUAGAAAAGUUAAAAGAAAAUCUAUCUUUGCAGACACAAGCAGCAUCUUGAGAGAACUUAGUUAAGAGAGAAUAAAGUUGCUUCAAUAAGAAGUCGCAGGGAGCUGAGAAAGAUCUGAAAUCUGAACUCUCAAAAAUGAAAACUUUCCAUAAGACUAAUAAAACUGAGUUGGAAAAAUAUAAGCAGCUCUAUCUACAAGAAUUAAAAGUUAGAAAAUCAUUGGCAACUAAACUAAACAAAACCAAUGAUAAAAUAGCAGAGGUUAAUAGCAAACUUCUUGUAGAGAACAGCAGAUCAGAUUUUUACACCACUCUUAUUACGAGGCAGUCCUAGAGUCACU
Molecule: long non-coding RNA, 950 nt
Filed under: Homo sapiens (human)
Lineage: Eukaryota; Metazoa; Chordata; Mammalia; Primates; Hominidae
Description: non-protein coding lnc-TEX26-2:1
Source: RNAcentral